GGAGCUGAAAUCAGUCGAAGAUACCAGCUGGCUGCAACUGUUUAUUAAAAACACAGCACUGUGCAAACACGAAAGUGGACGUAUACGGUGUGACGCCUGCCCGGUGCCGGAAGGUUAAUUGAUGGGGUUAUCCUCGCGGAGAAGCUCUUGAUCGAAGCCCCGGUAAACGGCGGCCGUAACUAUAACGGUCCUAAGGUAGCGAAAUUCCUUGUCGGGUAAGUUCCGACCUGCACGAAUGGCGUAAUGAUGGCCAGGCUGUCUCCACCCGAGACUCAGUGAAAUUGAACUCGCUGUGAAGAUGCAGUGUACCCGCGGCAAGACGGAAAGACCCCGUGAACCUUUACUAUAGCUUGACACUGAACACUGGUCCUUGAUGUGUAGGAUAGGUGGGAGGCUUUGAAGUGUGGACGCCAGUCUGCAUGGAGCCAUCCUUGAAAUACCACCCUUUAAUGGCUGGUGUUCUAACGUGGGCCCGUGAUCCGGGUUGCGGACAGUGUCUGGUGGGUAGUUUGACUGGGGCGGUCUCCUCCUAAAGAGUAACGGAGGAGCACGAAGGUCAGCUAAUCCUGGUCGGACAUCAGGAGGUUAGUGCAAUGGCAUAAGCUGGCUUGACUGCGAGCGUGACGGCGCGAGCAGGUGCGAAAGCAGGUCAUAGUGAUCCGGUGGUUCUGAAUGGAAGGGCCAUCGCUCAACGGAUAAAAGGUACUCCGGGGAUAACAGGCUGAUACCGCCCAAGAGUUCAUAUCGACGGCGGUGUUUGGCACCUCGAUGUCGGCUCAUCACAUCCUGGGGCUGAAGUAGGUCCCAAGGGUAUGGCUGUUCGCCAUUUAAAGUGGUACGCGAGCUGGGUUUAGAACGUCGUGAGACAGUUCGGUCCCUAUCUGCCGUGGGCGCUGGAGAAUUGAGGGGGGCUGCUCCUAGUACGAGAGGACCGGAGUGGACGCAUCACUGGUGUUCGGGUUGUCAUGCCAAUGGCAUUGCCCGGUAGCUAAAUGCGGAAGAGAUAAGUGCUGAAAGCAUCUAAGCACGAAACUUGCCCCGAGAUGAGUUCUCCCUGACUCCUUGAGAGUCCUGAAGGAACGUUGAAGACGACGACGUUGAUAGGCCGGGUGUGUAAGCGCAGCGAUGCGUUGAGCUAACCGGUACUAAUGAACCGUGAGGCUUAACCUU
RNAcentral lists this ribosomal RNA (1170 nucleotides) under Klebsiella oxytoca. RNAcentral describes it as "bacterial LSU rRNA". It matches the Rfam family "Bacterial large subunit ribosomal RNA", at positions 1747 to 2925 of the family's 2925-position model. The record is from RNAcentral. Lineage: Bacteria; Pseudomonadati; Pseudomonadota; Gammaproteobacteria; Enterobacterales; Enterobacteriaceae.